This 226-nucleotide long non-coding RNA is filed under the name Lathyrus oleraceus (garden pea). RNAcentral's name for it is "Pisum sativum (pea) long non-coding RNA (PSAT_LNC007014)". Lineage: Eukaryota; Viridiplantae; Streptophyta; Magnoliopsida; Fabales; Fabaceae. The record is from RNAcentral.
CUACUUGGUGGGUCUUUUGUUUUGUCUCUUUCCAUUUCCAAUCAUCAGAAUGAACUUCCCUUUUGACUUCAGAUUCUGCUCAGCAGUUCUUAACAUGGCUAGCAGUUCAGAAAGAAAUUUGUCCAUAUCAUUGAUAUUGAAAUUAAGGACAAAUUGACUGAAUCUAUCUAGAAACGAUUGCAAGAUCAAAUCAGUCGCAAGUUCCUUUCUGAGGGGAAAACCCAAC